GCCUGUUGCUGGGUAACCAGGCGAUGGAUGUUGUGUGCCUGUUGCUGGGUAACCAGGUGAUGGAUGUUGUGUGCCUGUUGCUGGGUAACCAGGUGUCCUGCAGCUGGUGGAGCAGCAGAGAAGAAGAGUGAUGGUCCUCCACGCUGCAGUGAGCCAGGCCAGAGCCAACAUGGACGCCAUGACGCGGAUCAUACAGGGAUGGGCGGAGCUUCAGCUGCUGCAGCGAUCAGCUGACUCGCUGCUGGAGGGCGGAGCCACAGAGCACAGCUGCCGACGAAUCAGAGACGA
Etheostoma cragini (Arkansas darter) is the source of this 288-nucleotide long non-coding RNA. RefSeq lists it as uncharacterized. The transcript has 2 exons. The record is from RefSeq and is a predicted model, not a curated record. NCBI's taxonomy places the organism in Eukaryota, Metazoa, Chordata, Actinopteri, Perciformes, Percidae.